GGGUGACACAGUGACAGAGUGAGGGAGCGGGUGACACAGUGACAGAGUUAGGGAGGGAGUGACUAGUGACAGAGAGAGGGAUGGGGUGACUAGUGACAGUCACCCCCCUCACUCUGUCACCAGUCAUCCCCUCACUCUGUCACUAGUCACCCCUUCCCUCCCUCACUUUGCCACUAGUCAUCUCUUCCCUCCCUCACUCUGCCACUAGUCACCCAUUCCCUCACUCUGUCACUAGUCAUCCC
Pelobates cultripes (western spadefoot toad) is the source of this 242-nucleotide non-coding RNA. The record is from the annotation of a GenBank genome assembly. Lineage: Eukaryota; Metazoa; Chordata; Amphibia; Anura; Pelobatidae.